This 145-nucleotide long non-coding RNA is filed under the name Rhinolophus ferrumequinum (greater horseshoe bat). RNAcentral describes it as "lncRNA (ENSRFEG00010000959.1)". Lineage: Eukaryota; Metazoa; Chordata; Mammalia; Chiroptera; Rhinolophidae. The record is from RNAcentral.
CCCGUGUGACAGUAUCAUCAGCUCAAGGCCAGAGGCUAUGGGAGAAGGUUGGAGGUGGCAGCUGAAAUGGAGAUGCACAAGGAUCUUUACUACCACUCUUGGAGAGACUGAAAGAGGAAGGCAGCCUCUGAAGACUGACUGCCCA